GCCAGGCGUGUGGCACACGCCUGUAAUCCCAGCAGCUGGGAGGCUGAGGCAGGAGGAUCGUGAGUUCAAAGCCAGCCUCAGCCAAAGCUAGAUGAUAAGCAACUCAGUGAGACCCUGUCUCUA
Molecule: small RNA, 123 nt
Filed under: Marmota monax (woodchuck)
Lineage: Eukaryota; Metazoa; Chordata; Mammalia; Rodentia; Sciuridae
Source: RNAcentral